GCUGGCGGCAUGCUUACACAUGCAAGUCGAACGGUAACAGGCCUUUGUGAUCCCUUCGGGGUGAGCUUGGCGCUGACGAGUGGCGGACGGGUGAGUAAUGCAUAGGAAUCUACCCAGUAGUGGGGGAUAACGUGGAGAAAUUCACGCUAAUACCGCAUAUGUCCUACGGGGCAAAGCAGGGGACCUUCGGGCCUUGCGCUAUUGGAUGAGCCUAUGUCGGAUUAGCUAGUUGGUGGGGUAAAGGCCUACCAAGGCGACGAUCCGUAGCUGGUCUGAGAGGAUGAUCAGCCACACUGGAACUGAGACACGGUCCAGACUCCUACGGGAGGCAGCAGUGGGGAAUAUUGCACAAUGGGCGCAAGCCUGAUGCAGCAAUGCCGCGUGUGUGAAGAAGGCCUGCGGGUUGUAAAGCACUUUUAUUAGGAAAGAAAAACCCGGAGUUAAUACCUCCGGCAUUGACGGUCCCUAAAGAAUAAGCACCGGCUAACUCAGUGCCAGCAGCCGCGGUAAUACUGAGGGUGCGAGCGUUAAUCGGAAUUACUGGGCGUAAAGCGAGUGUAGGCGGCUACCUAAGUCGGAUGUGAAAUCCCCGGGCUCAACCUGGGAAUUGCAUUCGAUACUGAGUAGCUAGAGUUUGGUAGAGGUAAGUGGAAUUCCAGGUGUAGCGGUGAAAUGCGUAGAUAUCUGGAGGAACA
RNAcentral lists this ribosomal RNA (695 nucleotides) under uncultured Gammaproteobacteria bacterium. RNAcentral describes it as "bacterial SSU rRNA". It matches the Rfam family "Bacterial small subunit ribosomal RNA", at positions 35 to 708 of the family's 1533-position model. Lineage: Bacteria; Pseudomonadati; Pseudomonadota; Gammaproteobacteria. The record is from RNAcentral.